GACGAACGCUGGCGGCGUGCUUAACACAUGCAAGUCGAGCGGUAAGGCCCUUUCGGGGGUACACGAGCGGCGAACGGGUGAGUAACACGUGGGUGACCUGCCCUCAGCUCUGGGAUAAGCCUGGGAAACUGGGUCUAAUACUGGAUAUGACUCCACGGUGCAUGUCGUGGGGUGGAAAGCCUUGUGCGGCUGAGGAUGGGCCCGCGGCCUAUCAGCUUGUUGGUGGGGUGANGGCCUACCAAGGCGACGACGGGUAGCCGGCCUGAGAGGGCGACCGGCCACACUGGGACUGAGACACGGCCCAGACUCCUACGGGAGGCAGCAGUGGGGAAUAUUGGACAAUGGGCGCAAGCCUGAUCCAGCGAUGCCGCGUGUGU
RNAcentral lists this ribosomal RNA (377 nucleotides) under uncultured bacterium. RNAcentral's name for it is "bacterial SSU rRNA". It matches the Rfam family "Bacterial small subunit ribosomal RNA", at positions 28 to 406 of the family's 1533-position model. The record is from RNAcentral.